AGCGAACGCUGGCGGCAGGCUUAACACAUGCAAGUCGAGCGGGCACUUCGGUGUCAGCGGCAGACGGGUGAGUAACACGUGGGAACGUACACUUCGGUUCGGAAUAACGCUGGGAAACUAGCGCUAAUACCGGAUACGCCCUUAUGGGGAAAGGUUUACUGCCGUAGGAUCGGCCCGCGUCGGAUUAGCUAGUUGGUGGGGUAAUGGCCUCCCAAGGCGAGGAUCAGUAGCUGGUCUGAGAGGAUGAUCAGCCACACUGGGACUGAGACACGGCCCAGACUCCUACGGGAGGCAGGAGUGGGGAAUAGUGGACAAUGGGCGCAAGCCUGAUCCAGCCAUGCCGCGUGAGUGAUGAAGGCCUUAGGGUUGUAAUGCUCUUUUGUCCGGGACGAUAAUGACGGUACCGGAAGAAUAAGCCCCGGCUAACUUCGUG
This 433-nucleotide ribosomal RNA is filed under the name uncultured bacterium. RNAcentral's name for it is "partial 16S ribosomal RNA". It matches the Rfam family "Bacterial small subunit ribosomal RNA", at positions 29 to 507 of the family's 1533-position model. The record is from RNAcentral.